CAGUAGCCACGGUAAUACAGAGGGUGCGAGCGUUAAUCGGAUUUACUGGGCGUAAAGCGUGCGUAGGCGGCUUCUUAAGUCGGUUGUGAAAUCCCUGAGCUUAACUUAGGAAUUGCAUUCGAUACUGGGAAGCUAGAGUAUGGGAGAGGAUGGUAGAAUUCCAGGUGUAGCGGUGAAAUGCGUAGAGAUCUGGAGGAAUACCGAUGGCGAAGGCAGCCAUCUGGCCUAAUACUGACGCUGAGGUACGAAAGCAUGGGAAGCAAACAGGAUUAGAUACCCCCGUAGUCCCUGUCUCUUAUAC
This 301-nucleotide ribosomal RNA is filed under the name uncultured bacterium. RNAcentral describes it as "partial 16S ribosomal RNA". It matches the Rfam family "Bacterial small subunit ribosomal RNA", at positions 509 to 807 of the family's 1533-position model. The record is from RNAcentral.